GGCUCGGUAGUGGACGGUCCACACCCACAACUCAUACGAAAAAAAUCGACAUCGCAUCAAUGUGGGAGUCGCCCGUUCGACUCGGGCCUGAGCCA
Non-coding RNA from Mycena capillaripes, 95 nucleotides. The record is from the annotation of a GenBank genome assembly. NCBI's taxonomy places the organism in Eukaryota, Fungi, Basidiomycota, Agaricomycetes, Agaricales, Mycenaceae.